RNAcentral lists this ribosomal RNA (492 nucleotides) under uncultured bacterium. RNAcentral describes it as "partial 16S ribosomal RNA". It matches the Rfam family "Bacterial small subunit ribosomal RNA", at positions 29 to 507 of the family's 1533-position model. The record is from RNAcentral.
AGUGAACGCUGGCGGUAGGCCUAACACAUGCAAGUCGAACGGCCGCACAGUAAGAGCUUGCUCUUACGGGUGGCGAGUGGCGGACGGGUGAGGAAUACAUCGGAAUCUACUUUUUCGUGGGGGAUAACGUAGGGAAACUUACGCUAAUACCGCAUACGACCUACGGGUGAAAGCAGUGGUUCUUCGCACCUUGCGCGAUUGAAUGAGCCGAUGUCGAAUUAGCUAGUUGGCGGGGUAAAGGCCCACCAAGGCGACGAUGCGUAGCUGGUCUGAGAGGAUGAUCAGCCACACUGGAACUGAGACACGGUCCAGACUCCUACGGGAGGCAGCAGUAGGGAAUAUUGGACAAUGGGCGAAAGCCUGAUCCAGCCAUACCGCGUGAGUGAAGAAGGCCUUCGGAUUGUAAAGCCCUUUUGUUGGGAAAGAAAAGCUGUGUGAGAAUACCCCGCUGUUCUGACGGUACCCAAAGAGAAAGCACCGGCUAACUUCGUG